UCCCUGGUGUUUCAGUGGUUAAGAAUCUGCUUUGCAAUGCAGGGGAUACAGGUUUAAUCCCUGGCCAGGGAA
RNAcentral lists this transfer RNA (72 nucleotides) under Bos taurus (domestic cattle). It matches the Rfam family "tRNA". Rfam says of the family: Transfer RNA (tRNA) molecules are approximately 80 nucleotides in length. Their secondary structure includes four short double-helical elements and three loops (D, anti-codon, and T loops). Further hydrogen bonds mediate the characteristic L-shaped molecular structure. tRNAs have two regions of fundamental functional importance: the anti-codon, which is responsible for specific mRNA codon recognition, and the 3' end, to which the tRNAs corresponding amino acid is attached (by aminoacyl-tRNA synthetases). tRNAs cope with the degeneracy of the genetic code in two manners: having more than one tRNA (with a specific anti-codon) for a particular amino acid; and 'wobble' base-pairing, i.e. permitting non-standard base-pairing at the 3rd anti-codon position. RNAcentral also lists the same sequence under 1 other name. The record is from Rfam by way of RNAcentral. Lineage: Eukaryota; Metazoa; Chordata; Mammalia; Artiodactyla; Bovidae.